CUACGUGCCAGCAGCCGCGGUAAUACGUAUGUCACAAGCGUUAUCCGGAUUUAUUGGGCGUAAAGCGCGUCUAGGUGGUUAUGUAAGUCUGAUGUGAAAAUGCAGGGCUCAACUCUGUAUUGCGUUGGAAACUGCAUGACUAGAGUACUGGAGAGGUAAGCGGAACUACAAGUGUAGAGGUGAAAUUCGUAGAUAUUUGUAGGAAUGCCGAUGGGGAAGCCAGCUUACUGGACAGAUACUGACGCUAAAGCGCGAAAGCGUGGGUAGCAAACAGGAUUAGAUACCCUGGUAGUCCACGCCGUAAACGAUGAUUACUAGGUGUUGGGGGUCGAACCUCAGCGCCCAAGCUAACGCGAUAAGUAAUCCGCCUGGGGAGUACGACCGCAAGGUUGAAACUCAAAGGAAUUGACGGGGGCCCGCACAAGCGGUGGAGCAUGUGGUUUAAUUCGAAGCAACGCGAAGAACCUUACCAGGUCUUGACAUCCCUCUGACCGCUCUAGAGAUAGAGUUUUC
Molecule: ribosomal RNA, 513 nt
Filed under: uncultured bacterium
Lineage: Bacteria
Description: bacterial SSU rRNA
Rfam family: Bacterial small subunit ribosomal RNA
Source: RNAcentral